GAUGAACGCUGGCGGCGUGCCUAACACAUGCAAGUCGAGCGAAAAGAUAAGGAGCUUUCCUUCUUUACUUUAGCGGCGCAGGGGUGAGUAACAUGUGUGUAACCCUCCUUUAAGACGGGGAAAACCUCGUGAAAACGGUAGCUAAUCCGGCAUAUAUUCCCAACAGCAAAGUUCGAUAGCUUAAGACGGCUUUGCUACCACUUAUAGCAGAUCCCAUGCGGUAUUAGCUAGUAGGUAAGGUAACGGCUUACCUAGGCGACGAUCCGUAGCCGACCUGAGAGGAUGAUCAGCCACACUGGAACUGAGACACGGUCCAGACUCCUACGGGAGGCAGCAGUGGGGAAUAUUCCGCAAUGGGCGAAAGCCUGACGGAGCAACGCCGCGUGUAUGAUGAAGGUCUUCGGGUCGUAAAGCUCUUUUAGUGGGGAGGAAGGGACGAGUGUGUAACUGUGCACGUAUUGACGGUACCCGAAGAAGAAGCCACGGCUAACUCCGUG
RNAcentral lists this ribosomal RNA (497 nucleotides) under uncultured bacterium. RNAcentral's name for it is "partial 16S ribosomal RNA". It matches the Rfam family "Bacterial small subunit ribosomal RNA", at positions 28 to 507 of the family's 1533-position model. The record is from RNAcentral.